This 502-nucleotide ribosomal RNA is filed under the name uncultured bacterium. RNAcentral's name for it is "bacterial SSU rRNA". It matches the Rfam family "Bacterial small subunit ribosomal RNA", at positions 24 to 518 of the family's 1533-position model. The record is from RNAcentral.
UCAGGAUGAACGCUAGCUACAGGCUUAACACAUGCAAGUCGAGGGGCAGCAUUGGAGUAGCAAUACUCAGAUGGCGACCGGCGCACGGGUGAGUAACACGUAUCCAACCUGCCGCUUACUCGGGGAUAGCCUUUCGAAAGAAAGAUUAAUACCCGAUGGUAUAAAGAGUUCGCAUGUUCUCUUUAUUAAAGAAUUUCGGUAAGCGAUGGGGAUGCGUUCCAUUAGAUAGUUGGCGGGGUAACGGCCCACCAAGUCUACGAUGGAUAGGGGUUCUGAGAGGAAGGUCCCCCACAUUGGAACUGAGACACGGUCCAAACUCCUACGGGAGGCAGCAGUGAGGAAUAUUGGUCAAUGGACGAGAGUCUGAACCAGCCAAAGUAGCGUGAAGGAUGACUGCCCUAUGGGUUGUAAACUUCUUUUAUAAGGGAAUAAAGUGAGGGACGUGUCCCUUUUUGUAUGUACCUUAUGAAUAAGGAUCGGCUAACUCCGUGCCAGCCGCCGC